RNAcentral lists this ribosomal RNA (522 nucleotides) under uncultured Pseudomonas sp. RNAcentral describes it as "bacterial SSU rRNA". It matches the Rfam family "Bacterial small subunit ribosomal RNA", at positions 9 to 526 of the family's 1533-position model. Lineage: Bacteria; Pseudomonadati; Pseudomonadota; Gammaproteobacteria; Pseudomonadales; Pseudomonadaceae. The record is from RNAcentral.
GAGUUUGAUCCUGGCUCAGAUUGAACGCUGGCGGCAGGCCUAACACAUGCAAGUCGAGCGGUAGAGAGAAGCUUGCUUCUCUUGAGAGCGGCGGACGGGUGAGUAAUGCCUAGGAAUCUGCCUGGUAGUGGGGGAUAACGUUCGGAAACGGACGCUAAUACCGCAUACGUCCUACGGGAGAAAGCAGGGGACCUUCGGGCCUUGSGCUAUCAGAUGAGCCUAGGUCGGAUUAGCUAGUUGGUGGGGUAAUGGCUCACCAAGGCGACGAUCCGUAACUGGUCUGAGAGGAUGAUCAGUCACACUGGAACUGAGACACGGUCCAGACUCCUACGGGAGGCAGCAGUGGGGAAUAUUGGACAAUGGGCGAAAGCCUGAUCCAGCCAUGCCGCGUGUGUGAAGAAGGUCUUCGGAUUGUAAAGCACUUUAAGUUGGGAGGAAGGGUUGUAGAUUAAUACUCUGCAAUUUUGACGUUACCGACAGAAUAAGCACCGGCUAACUCUGUGCCAGCAGCCGCGGUAAUAC